This 4022-nucleotide long non-coding RNA is filed under the name Ananas comosus (pineapple). RNAcentral describes it as "long non-coding RNA (ACOM_LNC037713)". The record is from RNAcentral. Lineage: Eukaryota; Viridiplantae; Streptophyta; Magnoliopsida; Poales; Bromeliaceae.
UUAAAUAUCACGACUCAACUCUCGCAAUCUACUAAUUAAGUUGCUCUGAGAGUCGAUUAACCACCUCUGUCUCUACCGCGAGUUUCACUUCUCGCCGAAGGUCACUACUAGCACUUCGCUAGUGCCAUCUUGCUCUAUACCUAUACUGGCAGGUACUACGCCCUCACAACACGAGCAUGCUCGGGUAUCUAUACUCACCCGUCCAUUCGGUCUUCACUAUGCUCAUGCACGGCAAUAGUAAUUAACCGCAUAACCAUUGCAUGCAAUGCAUCAACUUUACAUUCUACAGAAGCCUAUGCUUGCUUCAAUUAACUCAUACCUACCAUAGUAUCGUCGAUAACAGCAGGUUUCACAACCCGGUUCGCAUAUCCACGGCCUCUUGGGGCCCGCGGCGAACCCUCCGGUUGUCACCUCCUCACCACUCGUUCUCCAGACCAUUCUGUGGAUGUCACACCCACAAGCUGUCUCGGAGAGGAAGAGGCUAUCACCCACGUCACGACCCGGCAAUCGCCCACACGAAUGCCCAUCUCAUCACGCAGCACACACUGCUACGCCUGGUGAGAACUUCUACAUCCCGCAUCCCAAGGAGGUUAAUAGAAGACACCUCCGAGGUUCAGGAUUGCAAUUGCACUCAAGAAUGUGCACUGCCCAUACUGGGCAAUUUCGAGCUACGGGGACCGGUCUCUCCCUGCCAGGGACCGGUCCCCGAGGGCAAUCUCCGCCAAGUGCAGACUUUGCACUAAUUGCUCUCGUGGACUCCAACUCUAACGCACUUUUGGUGAUUUAAAUAUCUUCGGCUUUUCCGAAGCACACCAACACGACCCUUGGUCGAUUCUAAGCGAAGUCUAACUCUCGUAUUUCGAGAAUUCACUUCCUUAUAUGCACAACCUCGACCACGUCCGGCCAAGGUCUUCGCAGAGGCACAUCGGCCAAUUCCUCGUCAUCCCGCACUACGUUCGGGACACAACUCACGAUACGAGAGAAUUCCUACUUGUAUUCCCUCACGGCACGGUUUACCUGCCGUAGCUUCGGGAACCUUUCCUGAAGCUUUUCUUUCUCAGCAUUGGGAAAGUAAACAGGGAAUAUUAAUCCCCGAAACUCAUCCCGAAUCACAGGAGGAAAACUAGGCAAUCGAUUCCGUCGAAUGCCUUUCCACCACACCUUCGCCGAUUGUUUGCAAGCAACGCACAGCUAGGUGUAUCCUCUCACUCUACAGUGCACAGGUCCCCAAAGGGAGUCUCUAUGAAGUCGAUCCACAACUCCACGACUAACGGAUCCGUAUUCUCUCCAUCAAAGGCAGACGGAUUUAAUAGCUUAAAGGUCAUGAGGGCCACCGAAGCUCGGUCUUUCACCGCUUUCGCUUCUGAAGUACUAGAAGUCGGACUGCUCGAACCCGACAGAAAUACUUCCGUCGCAACUCCCGGUCGUACUCGACGAACGGCAGCUGGUAUAGCCACCAGUUGAUCUAUCGCUUCCUGGAGUCUUCUCAUUUGCUCCUUCUGGGAUACGGCAGCUUCCUGCUGACGCCGCACUAAUUCGGCUCGUCACCCCGCCACUCACACGAGAGUGGACAAUCGCUCACGAAGUCCCAAGUCUCCGUUCACUUCGGAUUGCUCAGGGACGACACUCGUCCCAUCCCGUGCCAAUCUACAUGAAGAUCGCCUACGCAGUUCCAUCGCUUCCCAAGACGCGACAGCUCGAUCGAUUCUCGAUCCUCAAAGUCGAGCGCGAAACAACUGACAUCGACUCAAAUCGGGCGAAAGUCACGCAAGGGUAUCUAUUCUCAACACUCGGUUUCAUGUUGUGUCGACCCAACAUGAACACCCUCGGUUGAGAACAAACCACACCUCGAGUCUACCUCUAAUAUCCGUUAUAGAGGCUUCAACACUGACCCAAUCGAUUAAUCUUUCGCCAUAAGCCAUAAGUCCUCGUCUCUCACGAGCCUUAUUCUCCUAUGGUUUACUAUCCUAGGGUCUUCUAGGUCUGCCUAAACCAUUCAUAUUCUCUACUUUAUUCUCUGAUACCAUCUUAUCUGUCAAGCCCCGCGACCACCCGCCUAUUUGGCCGGGUCGCGGCGCCGCAACAGACCGCCGAACGGACAGGGUUUCCCCUGUACCGCGGACAGAGUCUCCCCUAUACAUUCAAGGCGUCGCAAUCAAUACAAUGUACAAAGUUCCAACCAGGAACACAUUUCAAUCAAAGAUUGCAUAAUGGAAGGUAUCAAACAACAUAACACAUCCUAUAUUAUUACAUGCAUUCACAUUCAUACAUUUUACAUCCCAAAUACUUAUUACAUUUAACUUCCAAAUACAAUCCGAUUUAACAUGGUUAUUACAAUCUUAUUCCUUUCAUUUUCUUACUUCCCUAAGUAAAGCCGACUCAGGGUACCGCUAUCUCUGGUCUCGGUGGUAGGGCGCUAACUAUGAUGCUACGCCCUCGCCUCGCGCCGCCGCGCCGCUCACGUGUGAACCUGUAACACCCCAAAACCACGUGGGGUGAGAACCAACUCCAUGGUUCCCAGUGGGUACGGCCACCCAAGGGAAAAGCUCGACCAAUAGGUCCAAGGGAGGCAACUGCAAGUUAGUUCAAUAAACAGAUAGAUAUAUAUCUUGAUUAUGCAACGAAUAAAACCAUGCAUUGCCUCACGAAUGCAAUAAUGUAAUGCUAUAUGCAAAUCAUGCAAUAAUGCAACUAUGCAACCAACUAGUAGUUCAUUCGAUACUACUUUCAAUUCUGCUAACCAUAGCUCAUCCAUUUGAUAUUUAAGGUUUCCUCUAUCUUAGAUUCUUGUCAAUCACCGUUUUAAUCAUAAGGUUUCAUCUUCCUUUACAAGGCUAACCACCCGACUCGGUCUUGAGUCAAUCGUCUGCGGAGUACCGCACUAGAACCAGGCUCGAGGCGAUGGACGUCUCACAUACACCUCAGCCCUAGAUCCUCUCGACUAGGAUACCAAAUCCAUAACUCAUAAUGCAUACUUGUUGUACACUCAUUUGGCUAUGACCCAAUCUUACCGGUUAACCAUGUUAACCCCAAUAACUCACAACCAAAUCCCUUAAUAACGGGGGACUCGAACCUCCCUAGGGACCGUCAACUGGUGGGACUUUACCACGCCCAGUGGUGACCAACUCCGGAGCGCACCGCCCGAGGGGGAGCUACCUCCCUCAAGCCAAGACUUAUCGUGAGUAUCGAUCCAAUCCUCAACUUGAGGAUUCAUAGCCACUCGUCACAAUGCCAAUGUCAUGAUAGGUCUCUACCUAUUUAAUCAUGCCACUCUCUAUGUCAACUUGGACCAAUGUCAAUAUGGUUAAACUAUGUUUAACAAUCACUUUCUUGAUGCCAAUCAUGUCUCUAUUGUCAUUGUCACCCUUGUUUACUAAUGUUCAAGUCCAACUCUCACAUUUACACAAUAAUAGGGUCCUAACAUACAUGAAUGACACCAGAAUAUAUAUGAUCAAUCACCACAAGUGUUUGCUAGGUUCAAGAUGCUAGGUUUAAUGCCACUCGAUCUAAUAUAUAUAUAGAUUGUCCACUAUGUUCCACAACAUGGCAAUAUGUCAUCAAGUAUGUUUUUCUAUUUAACAUAAUCCACAAUAUGUAAAUUCAUAAUAUAUCAUCAUGCACAUAUACCACUAGCAUCACAUGAUUUGUCAACAUACAUAUAGUCAUUAUCCAAAAUAGUCCAUACUUAGCAUCUCAUGCAUUCUUUUAGCACUUAAUUCAUUAUGCAUUACAUUUAGCAUAUUCUACAACAUGUCAUCAUACAUUCCUUUUAUGAUGUUCUUAUAAUGCUAACAUUCAUACGCCCUUUAUAUUAUGCAUUCAAAGCAUUAAUCAUAUGCAUUUAUCUAGCAUUUCUAUAGUAUGUUAACAUGCAUUCUUUUCACAUUCUUAUAUUAUGUCAAUAUGCAUCAAUAUGAAAUCUCAUUUCUUAGACAUAAAGGGCGACCUAGUCGCUUCGGUAAGCACAACCCACCUCAUUUCGCAUUCCGAUUGCUUGUCGACACUUGCAAUCGGCCUCCCGC